AGAGUUUGAUCAUGGCUCAGAAUCAACGCUGGCGGCGUGCCUAACACAUGCAAGUCGCACGAGAAAGUGGAGCAAUCCAUGAGUAAAGUGGCGCACGGGUGAGUAACACGUGAAUGAUCUACCUCCGAGUGGGGAAUAACUGAGAGAAAUCUUAGCUAAUACCGCAUAAUACCCACGGGUCAAAGCAGCAAUGCGCUUGGAGAGGAGUUCGCGGCCGAUUAGCUAGUUGGCGGGGUAAUGGCCCACCAAGGCGAUGAUCGGUAUCCGGCCUGAGAGGGCGCACGGACACACUGGAACUGAAACACGGUCCAGACUCCUACGGGAGGCAGCAGUGGGGAAUUUUGCGCAAUGGGGGAAACCCUGACGCAGCAACGCCGCGUGGAGGAUGAAAUCCCUUGGGAUGUAAACUCCUUUCGAUAGGGAAGAUAAUGACGGUACCUAUAGAAGAAGCCCCGGCUAACUUCGUGCCAGCAGCCGCGGUAAUACGAGGGGGGCAAGCGUUGUUCGGAAUUAUUGGGCGUAAAGGGUGCGUAGGCGGUUUGACAAGUCUGAUGUGAAAUCUAUGGGCUCAACCCAUAGUCUGCAUCGGAAACUGUCGGGCUUGAGUAUGGGAGAGGUGAGUGGAAUUUCCGGUGUAGCGGUGAAAUGCGUAGAUAUCGGAAGGAACACCUGUGGCGAAAGCGGCUCACUGGACCAUUACUGACGCUGAGGCACGAAAGCUAGGGGAGCAAACAGGAUUAGAUACCCUAGUAGUCC
Molecule: ribosomal RNA, 756 nt
Filed under: uncultured bacterium
Lineage: Bacteria
Description: bacterial SSU rRNA
Rfam family: Bacterial small subunit ribosomal RNA
Source: RNAcentral